CUUGGUCAUUUAGAGGAAGUAAAAGUCGUAACAAGGUUUCCGUAGGUGAACCUGCGGAAGGAUCAUUACCGAGUUCAUGCCCUCACGGGUAGAUCUCCCACCCUCUGUAUACCAUACCUUUGUUGCUUUGGCGGGCCGCCUAGCUACUGGCUUCGGCUGGUAAGUGCCCGCCAGAGGACCCAAAACCCUGAAUAUUAGUGUCGUCUGAGUAAAAUUUUAAUAUUUAAAACUUUCAACAACGGAUCUCUUGGCUCUGGCAUCGAUGAAGAACGCAGCGAAAUGCGAUAAGUAAUGUGAAUUGCAGAAUUCAGUGAAUCAUCGAAUCUUUGAACGCACAUUGCGCCCCUUGGUAUUCCGAGGGGCAUGCCUAUUCGAGCGUCAUUAUCACCCCUCAAGCUUCGGCUUGGUGUUGAGGCCUGCUGUAAAGGCACCCUCUAAAAUCAGUGGCAGUGCUGUCAGGCUCUAAGCGUAGUAAUUUCAUCGCUAUAGGGUCCUGGUGGAUACUCGUCAAAACCCCCCCAUUUUUUAAUGAUUGACCUCGGAUUAGGUAGGGAUACCCGCUGAACUUAAGCAUAUCAAUAAGCGGAGGAAAAGAAACCAACAGGGAUUGCCUCAGUAACGGCGAGUGAAGCGGCAAAAGCUCAAAUUUGAAAUCUGGCUCUUUUAGGGUCCGAGUUGUAAUUUGUAGAAGAUGUUUCGGGUGUGGCUCCGGUCUAAGUUCUUUGGAAUAUUACAUCAUAGAGGGUGAGAAUCCCGUAUGUGACCGGCAGCCUUCGCCUAUGUGAAACUCUUUCGACGAGUCGAGUUGUUUGGGAAU
Molecule: small RNA, 817 nt
Filed under: uncultured Tetracladium
Lineage: Eukaryota; Fungi; Ascomycota
Description: eukaryotic LSU rRNA
Rfam family: Eukaryotic large subunit ribosomal RNA (bases 534-817)
Source: RNAcentral